AUGGCCUGGACUGUGCUUCUCCUCACCCUCCUCACUCAGGCCACAGGUUCCUGGGCCCAGUCAGCUCUGACCCAGCCUUCCUCAGUGUCUGGGGCUCUGGGACAGUCAGUCACCAUCUCCUGUGCUGGGACCAGCAAUGACAUUGGGCAAUAUAACGAUGUAUCCUGGUACCAGCAGCUCCCUGGCAAGACACCCAAGCUCCUGAUUUAUGUUGUCAGUUACCGGCCCUCAGGGAUCCCUGAUCGCUUCUCUGGCUCCAAGUCAGGCAACACGGCCACUUUGACCAUCUCUGGUCUCAAGCCUGAGGAUGAGGCUGAGUAUUACUGUAGCUCAUUCAGGAGUGGUUAUACUUACCACAGUGGUCUGGUCGGUGUCACACAUCAGUGGCUCAUCAAUAGCCGCAUCAUAGCACAUGGGGAUGGGCCGCGGCUCCUGGACACAGAAUAA
Non-coding RNA from Talpa occidentalis (Iberian mole), 447 nucleotides. Lineage: Eukaryota; Metazoa; Chordata; Mammalia; Eulipotyphla; Talpidae. The record is from the annotation of a RefSeq genome assembly.